Molecule: long non-coding RNA, 436 nt
Filed under: Spirodela polyrhiza (greater duckweed)
Lineage: Eukaryota; Viridiplantae; Streptophyta; Magnoliopsida; Alismatales; Araceae
Description: long non-coding RNA (SPOL_LNC002374)
Source: RNAcentral
AAGGAACUGGUCAUUUCAAAGAAAGUGCGGUGGAACUUCAACACAGAGUUAUGUGAGCAAGAUGAGGGCCAACCGCUUCAGCGCCAUAACAAGAGCCGCAGUAGGAUUCGUUGUGCUCAAGCCUUCCACCAUGCCUUUGUAAGGGCCUUUCAAUCUGAGACAUACAAGGAAGCAAUGGCCAUGCCCAGUUUAACACUUCCCAAGUAAAUAUGUUGCAAAUUGUGACCAUAUAACUCCGUUUCUAUGAACAGGCAGCGACCAGAAAAUAUGCAUGUAGUGGGCCACCCGGGUAAUGUAUGAGAUGCAGAAAUCAAGAAUCGGCUGUGUGAAAUGGAAUUCCAAAAGAAGCAAAUGAAGAAGGUGAAAAUUUCGAUGCUAAUGUUACAAUAAAGAUUAUUAUAAGAGCGUUUUUUUACUAAAUUCUGAUAAUGUACCU